This 274-nucleotide ribosomal RNA is filed under the name uncultured bacterium. Its description in RNAcentral is "partial 16S ribosomal RNA". It matches the Rfam family "Bacterial small subunit ribosomal RNA", at positions 523 to 796 of the family's 1533-position model. The record is from RNAcentral.
AUACGGAGGGUGCGAGCGUUAAUCGGAAUUACUGGGCGUAAAGCGCGCGUAGGUGGCUUUGUUAGUCGGAUGUGAAAGCCCUGGGCUUAACCUGGGAAUUGCAUUCGAUACUGCAUGGCUCGAGUAUAGUAGAGGGUAGUGGAAUUCCUGGUGUAGCGGUGAAAUGCGUAGAUAUCAGGAGGAACAUCAGUGGCGAAGGCGGCUACCUGGACUAAUACUGACACUGAGGUGCGAAAGCGUGGGGAGCAAACAGGAUUAGAAACCCUGGUAGUCC